UAGGGAAUAUUAGAAAUGGACGAAAGUCUGAUCUAGCAACACCGCGUGUGCGAAGAAGGCCUUUGGGUCGUAAAGCACUUUUUGGAAGGAAUAGGAAGGAAUGUACUUCCAGAAUAAGUCUCGGCUAACUACGUGCCAGCAGCCGCGGUAACACGUAGGAGGCAAACGUUAUCCGGAUUUACUGGGCGUAAAGCGCGUGUAGGUGGUACUGUAAGUAGGGCGUGAAAGCUCCUGGCUCAACUGGGAGAGGCCGUUCUAAACUACAGAACUAGAGGAUGGUAGAGGGAGGUGGAAUUCCAGGUGUAGCGGUGGAACGCGCAGAUAUCUGGAGGAACACCGGUGGCGAAGGCGGCCUCCUGGACCAUUCCUGACACUCAGACGCGAAAGCUAGGGUAGCAAGCGG
Molecule: ribosomal RNA, 403 nt
Filed under: uncultured bacterium
Lineage: Bacteria
Description: bacterial SSU rRNA
Rfam family: Bacterial small subunit ribosomal RNA
Source: RNAcentral